Non-coding RNA from Salvelinus sp. IW2-2015, 1388 nucleotides. The record is from RefSeq and is a predicted model, not a curated record. NCBI's taxonomy places the organism in Eukaryota, Metazoa, Chordata, Actinopteri, Salmoniformes, Salmonidae.
AUUUUGGUCCAAGAUGGUUUUGGUCCAAGAUGAUUUUGGUCCAAGAUGAUUUUGGUCCAAGAUGAACUGUAACUAUUUAGUUGAGGAAGUAAUGUAAUGAACAUUGUUGUGUUCCUUUCUUCUCUCUUUUGUUUCCUAGUCAUUGGCUCUACCAUACCCAUCAUCACCCCUGGCAAAGAAGGGUAGUAUGAAACCAUCCUGGUGGCCUUUUGACGUGUCUCCUAGCGCUGUUGCCUUUGCUGUGGCAUGGCCGUUUGUGGUGCAGUGGCUCAUCCGCCUAUAUCUUCAACGUAAGAGAAGACGAAUCAACUGAAAAGUCUCCCGUCCCAAAGACACAGAGCGACGAUGAGAGCUCUCUCAACAGUCUCUGGGUUGGGUAACGGCCGUAGCCUCCCUUCCGCUUUCCCACCCGCACCUCUGUAACUCUAGCUUUUGCACUAUGAAGAUGGCAUUACUAUAGUGAGUUUGGGGGACGCAUCACAACCCACUGGCACUACAAUUGAAAUCAAAAGAGAAAUGUGAAUGAAUUGAACUGCAGCUUUUAUAAUCAUGCAAGAUUAUACAACUACUGUACUACAUUAGUACUUUUUGUUUUGCUCUGAAGAAAUGAUGAUGAUUUAACUUGGGCGGUAAAGUUAUUGGUUGUGUAUGUUGAGUAUAGCUUCUUUUAUUGCAACUAUUCCGUACAUCUUACGGCACGUAUCGGCAACUUUGAUGGGGGUGUGGUCCAGGAGGGAAAAAAAACGAAACUCCCCUUUUUAGCGGUCCGUCUCCUGACAGCGAAGAGAAAAAAAAUUGACGUUUUAAACUUAAUUUCCUGCAAUUCUGCAUAUUUUGCCACGGGGCGUAAAGAAACUGUUGCCGUUUUAAAUAUGACUGAUGAUCAGUGGGCCCCACCCCAGUUAGUAAUUUGACUAUGUUUACUACAAGUUUAGAUAGCUGGCCACUAGACUAACUUACCAAUGUAAAAACAUUUAUCUGACCUGGGCUUAUUGAGUGACUGCUGAUGCACAACAAAAACCGAAUGUCGAAAUCGCAGCUUAUGUAUUCUACUAUUCUAACUCUCAACAGUACAUUUUCUUUUUUGUUGGUCAAAUUGGUCCGCGGGCCUACAAAAGGGGGGGAGGCCCACGGGUCUCCCCGCCAGUUGUCCAUCCCUUGUCUUACAGCAUUAUAAGAACUAUCCAACUUGUCCUGCAAAUGGACAUAACUGCAACAGAAACCUUACGCCAUAUAUCAUAAUAGUUGCUCAGGCUGCUAAUAUAUGAUGAUAACGCUAGGUAGAUAAGUGUGUAUAUAUAUAAUAAUGUAUUUGUGGAAAGGUACACUUAAAUCUUGAAAAUGUGUUAAUAUAUUAUUUCUAAUAUUAAAUGAAAAUUAAGACUUUA